RNAcentral lists this ribosomal RNA (407 nucleotides) under uncultured bacterium. RNAcentral's name for it is "partial 16S ribosomal RNA". It matches the Rfam family "Bacterial small subunit ribosomal RNA", at positions 30 to 526 of the family's 1533-position model. The record is from RNAcentral.
AUUGAACGCUGGCGGCAGGCCUAACACAUGCAAGUCGAGCGGAGCGGCGGACGGGUGAGUAAUGCCUAGGAAUCUGCCUGGUAGUGGGGGAUAACGUCCGGAAACGGGCGCUAAUACCGCAUAUUAUUCGAGCGGCCGAUGUCUGAUUAGCUGGUUGGCGGGGUAAAGGCCCACCAAGGCGACGAUCAGUAGCGGGUCUGAGAGGAUGAUCCGCCACACGGGGACUGAGAAACGGCCCAGACGCCUACGGGAGGCAGCAGUGGGGAAUUUUGGACAAUGGGCGCAAGCCUGAUCCAGCCAUGCCGCGUGUCUGAAGAAGGCCUUCGGGUUGUAAAGUUCUUUCGGUGACGAGGCGUUAAUCACAGAAGAAGCACCGGCUAACUCCGUGCCAGCAGCCGCGGUAAUAC